UGGGGAAUAUUGGGCAAUGGGCGCAAGCCUGACCCAGCCAUGCCGCGUGAGUGAUGAAGGCCUUCGGGUCGUAAAGCUCUGUGGGGAGGGAAGAAGCACCCUGUGGCUAAUAUCCACGGGGCCUGACGGUACCUCCUUAGCAAGCACCGGCUAACUCCGUGCCAGCAGCCGCGGUAAUACGGAGGGUGCAAACGUUGCUCGGAAUCAUUGGGCGUAAAGCGCACGUAGGCGGCCGACUAAGUCGGAUGUGAAAGCCCAGGGCUCAACCCUGGAAGUGCAUUCGAAACUGGCCGGCUUGAAUAUGGAAGAGGGUCGCGGAAUUCCCGGUGUAGAGGUGAAAUUCGUAGAUAUCGGGAGGAACACCAGUGGCGAAGGCGGCGACCUGGGCCAAUAUUGACGCUGAGGUGCGAAAGCGUGGGGAGCAAACAGGAUUAGAUACCCCCGUAGUCC
This 450-nucleotide ribosomal RNA is filed under the name uncultured bacterium. RNAcentral describes it as "bacterial SSU rRNA". It matches the Rfam family "Bacterial small subunit ribosomal RNA", at positions 355 to 796 of the family's 1533-position model. The record is from RNAcentral.